RNAcentral lists this ribosomal RNA (501 nucleotides) under uncultured Glomus. RNAcentral's name for it is "SSU rRNA". It matches the Rfam family "Eukaryotic small subunit ribosomal RNA", at positions 591 to 1092 of the family's 1831-position model. Lineage: Eukaryota; Fungi; Glomeromycota; Glomeromycetes; Glomerales; Glomeraceae. RNAcentral also lists the same sequence under 1 other name. The record is from RNAcentral.
CCAAUAGCGUAUAUUAAAGUUGUUGCAGUUAAAAAGCUCGUAGUUGAAUUUCGGGAUCAAUGUUUCGGUCAUGCCGUUGGUAUGUACUGAUAUUAUUGGUUUCUCACCUUCUAAAGAACCGUAAUGCCAUUAAUUUGGUGUCACGGGGAAUUAGGACUGUUACCUUGAAAAAAUUAGAGUGUUUAAAGCAGGCUAACGCUUGAAUACAUUAGCAUGGAAUAAUGAAAUAGGACGUUCGAUCUUAUUUUGUUGGUUUCUAAGAUUGACGUAAUGAUUAAUAGGGAUAGUUGGGGGCAUUAGUAUUCAAUUGUCAGAGGUGAAAUUCUUGGAUUUAUUGAAGACUAACUACUGCGAAAGCAUUUGCCAAGGAUGUUUUCAUUAAUCAAGAACGAAAGUUAGGGGAUCGAAGACGAUCAGAUACCGUCGUAGUCUUAACCAUAAACUAUGCCGACUAGGGAUCGGAUGAUGUUAAUUUUUUAAUGACUCAUUCGGCGCCUUACG